Molecule: ribosomal RNA, 893 nt
Filed under: uncultured bacterium
Lineage: Bacteria
Description: bacterial SSU rRNA
Rfam family: Bacterial small subunit ribosomal RNA
Source: RNAcentral
GACGUUGGGAAAGCGAGCGGCGGAUGGGUGAGUAACACGUGGGGAACCUGCCCCUAAGUCUGGGAUACCAUUUGGAAACAGGUGCUAAUACCGGAUAAUAAAGCAGAUCGCAUGAUCAGCUUUUGAAAGGCGGCGUAAGCUGUCGCUAAGGGAUGGCCCCGCGGUGCAUUAGCUAGUUGGUAAGGUAACGGCUUACCAAGGCGACGAUGCAUAGCCGAGUUGAGAGACUGAUCGGCCACAUUGGGACUGAGACACGGCCCAAACUCCUACGGGAGGCAGCAGUAGGGAAUCUUCCACAAUGGACGCAAGUCUGAUGGAGCAACGCCGCGUGAGUGAAGAAGGUUUUCGGAUCGUAAAGCUCUGUUGUUGGUGAAGAAGGAUAGAGGUAGUAACUGGCCUUUAUUUGACGGUAAUCAACCAGAAAGUCACGGCUAACUACGUGCCAGCAGCCGCGGUAAUACGUAGGUGGCAAGCGUUGUCCGGAUUUAUUGGGCGUAAAGCGAGCGCAGGCGGAAAAAUAAGUCUAAUGUGAAAGCCCUCGGCUUAACCGAGGAACUGCAUCGGAAACUGUUUUUCUUGAGUGCAGAAGAGGAGAGUGGAACUCCAUGUGUAGCGGUGGAAUGCGUAGAUAUAUGGAAGAACACCAGUGGCGAAGGCGGCUCUCUGGUCUGCAACUGACGCUGAGGCUCGAAAGCAUGGGUAGCGAACAGGAUUAGAUACCCUGGUAGUCCAUGCCGUAAACGAUGAGUGCUAAGUGUUGGGAGGUUUCCGCCUCUCAGUGCUGCAGCUAACGCAUUAAGCACUCCGCCUGGGGAGUACGACCGCAAGGUUGAAACUCAAAGGAAUUGACGGGGGGCCCGCACAAGCGGUGGAACCAUGUGGUUUAAUUCGAA